GCCAGCCAUCACGUGUCACUCCUUCAGGACGGUUAGGAACUGCUGGCAGCCGUGGCCGAUCAAGUAGCAAUCAAAUUUUCUCGUCUGAUUUCAUGAGGAGGCGGAGAAGAAUAACGCAAUCACUUUGCCUCAAUGUUUCACCGUCUCUGCUUCACACUGGUAACUCGACUCCUCACAUCUUUGGAGCGGAAUUGCCGGUCAGCUUUUACACACUCAACAAACUAGAGGAUGAAUAAAGGAGGACGAUAAAGGUAGAAAUACUCAACGAAGUGAAAGGUCGCCUGGAUGAGCUUUACAACAUCGUCUGAGUGGCAUUGGUUACGACAUCGUGUGUGCAGAGUGGUACAGCGUGCGUCAGCUGGUGAGUGUGUGCAUGUGUGUGUGCGUGUGCCGCCUACGCUGUGAUGAGAUGAGGCGCCAGGUGGUGGUGAUGGUGGUGGUGAUGGUGGUGGUGAUGGUGGUCGGCUUGG
Long non-coding RNA from Eriocheir sinensis (Chinese mitten crab), 470 nucleotides. RefSeq lists it as uncharacterized. The record is from RefSeq and is a predicted model, not a curated record. NCBI's taxonomy places the organism in Eukaryota, Metazoa, Arthropoda, Malacostraca, Decapoda, Varunidae. The transcript has 3 exons.